UCCGGAUUAUUGGGCGUAAAGCGCGCGCAGGCGGUUUCUUAAGUCUGAUGUGAAAGCCCACGGCUCAACCGUGGAGGGUCAUUGGAAACUGGGGAACUUGAGUGCAGAAGAGAAAAGCGGAAUUCCACGUGUAGCGGUGAAAUGCGUAGAGAUGUGGAGGAACACCAGUGGCGAAGGCGGCUUUUUGGUCUGUAACUGACGCUGAGGCGCGAAAGCGUGGGGAGCAAACAGGAUUAGAUACCCUGGUAGUCCA
Molecule: ribosomal RNA, 253 nt
Filed under: Priestia megaterium
Lineage: Bacteria; Bacillati; Bacillota; Bacilli; Caryophanales; Bacillaceae
Description: Bacillus megaterium partial 16S ribosomal RNA
Rfam family: Bacterial small subunit ribosomal RNA
Source: RNAcentral